UGGCCGGACAAGUCCGUUGGGAAAUCCACGCGCUCAACGCGUGGGCGUCCAGCGGAAACUGUCCGGCUUGGGACCGGAAGACCCGAGGGGUACGUCCGGGGUAGGAGUGAAAUCCCGUAAUCCUGGACGGACCGCCGGUGGCGAAAGCGCCUCGGGAGGACGGAUCCGACAGUGAGGGACGAAAGCCAGGGUCUCGAACCGGAUUAGAUACCCGGGUAGUCCUGGCCGUAAACGAUGUCCGCUAGGUGUGGCGCAGGCUACGAGCCUGCGCUGUGCCGUAGGGAAGCCGUGAAGCGGACCGCCUGGGAA
RNAcentral lists this ribosomal RNA (309 nucleotides) under uncultured archaeon. RNAcentral's name for it is "bacterial SSU rRNA". It matches the Rfam family "Archaeal small subunit ribosomal RNA", at positions 526 to 834 of the family's 1478-position model. The record is from RNAcentral.